Molecule: ribosomal RNA, 271 nt
Filed under: uncultured bacterium
Lineage: Bacteria
Description: partial 16S ribosomal RNA
Rfam family: Bacterial small subunit ribosomal RNA
Source: RNAcentral
UACAGAGGGUGCAAGCGUUAAUCGGAAUUACUGGGCGUAAAGCGCGCGUAGGUGGUUUGUUAAGUUGGAUGUGAAAUCCCCGGGCUCAACCUGGGAACUGCAUUCAAAACUGACAAGCUAGAGUAUGGUAGAGGGUGGUGGAAUUUCCUGUGUAGCGGUGAAAUGCGUAGAUAUUGGGAAGAACACCGGUGGCGAAGGCGGCUAUCUGGACCGACAUUGACGCUGAGGCGCGAAAGCGUGGGGAGCAAACAGGAUUAGAAACCCCUGUAGU